Molecule: ribosomal RNA, 288 nt
Filed under: uncultured prokaryote
Description: partial 16S ribosomal RNA
Rfam family: Bacterial small subunit ribosomal RNA
Source: RNAcentral
GAGCCGCCGCGGUAAUACGUAGGGGGCAAGCGUUGUUCGGAAUUAAAGGGCGUAAAGCGCGCGCAGGCGGUUCCUUAAGUCUGAUGUCUAAGGCCACAGCUCAACUGUGGAGGGCCAUUGGAAACUGGGGAACUUGAGGACAGAAGAGGAGAGCGGAAUUCCACGUGUAGCGGUGAAAUGCGUAGAUAUGUGGAGGAACACCAGUGGCGAAGGCGGCUCUCUGGUCUGUAACUGACGCUGAGGCGCGAAAGCAUGGGUAGCGAACAGGAUUAGAUACCCGCGUAGUCC